This is a long non-coding RNA of Helianthus annuus (common sunflower), 1164 nucleotides long. RefSeq lists it as uncharacterized. The record is from RefSeq and is a predicted model, not a curated record. The transcript is spliced from 3 exons. NCBI's taxonomy places the organism in Eukaryota, Viridiplantae, Streptophyta, Magnoliopsida, Asterales, Asteraceae.
CAUGAUCAAGGCACGUAUGGAUUUGUUGUCAAGUUUUAUCUUCUUAUUCUUAUGAUAUGCUUAAUUUUUAUUAAUUACAUUAUCUAAAAUAUUUAAUACCUUUAUAUAUUAGCUGCAACAGUUGCAUAAUGGACGGUUGGUAGAACUUCAUUGAAAUUUUUAAUGGAAGUCAAAAGGAGACAUGGCAUUUUUAGUGAUGGUAAGGCACAAGAAGUGUGUUGGGUACACGUAUGAAUCACAUUUUGGUGUGAGUGAGUUUUGGGGAAGUCCCAUGCCACAACAAGGGGGUGCUAGAGUGAGUCUUGGUGUAUACUUUCUGUUGGUAAAUGAAGCAUAAUUUAUCGAAGAAAGGUGCAACCCAUGCUUGGAGAAUGUAGUACCAUUAAACAAAGCUUAAAUUUAACUGCAGUCAUACCCGCAUAAGAUAUUGAUCGGGAGGCAAGCGCAAAUUGCGACGAUUAAGCAAAUGGGUGGACUUGAUGGUUUGCCGAAGAGAGUAAACAUGAAACUUUUGGUGUUGGUCAUGUAGCAUUUCUACGAGUUUAGGUAAGUUCUCUAACUUAGCUUCAUAUCAUAGAAUUUGAAAUGUAUAUUUAUAUAGUAUUCGAUUUAGUGCUUAGGAUAAUCAGGUUGGUUGGUUUAACCGAUGAACCUGCAUACAACCUCUAUAUAUAUAUAUAUAUAUAUAUAUAUUAUACGUUUUAAAAAUAUCAACCUAACCUAACACACUAUGGGUAGGUGAGGCAUACGAUGUAGGAAAUAUGUAAAAAAACUGAAUCCCUGUUUUAAUUCUGUCCUUUGAUACCUUAUGUGAAAAAAAGUGUUUGUUAUUUUGCAUAGGAUAUGCGUAAUAAUAGCUGAAGAUGGUAGAUAGAAGAGAAAGGUGGCACUUGCAUGGAAUAGCUUUUGGUACUGAUUCAAUCACUUUCUCUAAAGACUUUCCUAGCGGAUUUGCUGUUUUUAUGAAAGACAAUUAUCUGUUAGAAAGACAUUAAUCUCAAGCUCAAGGCUUUAGAAGCGGCAGGUAGCAAGUCCGUUGGAAGAAGUCAUGUAAUAGAAGUAUAGGGGGACAUUUUGUUUUGACUGUGAAAAUUCAUAUAUUACAAGAUUCUAAUAGAAGUCAUGUAUGUUAAAGUUCUUUAAUUCAAACAAUAUUUCAUGUUG